Molecule: microRNA, 21 nt
Filed under: Ornithorhynchus anatinus (platypus)
Lineage: Eukaryota; Metazoa; Chordata; Mammalia; Monotremata; Ornithorhynchidae
Description: oan-miR-128-5p
Gene: oan-miR-128-5p
Source: miRBase by way of RNAcentral
UGGCGAUUGGACAGCCGGAAG